This 486-nucleotide ribosomal RNA is filed under the name uncultured bacterium. RNAcentral describes it as "bacterial SSU rRNA". It matches the Rfam family "Bacterial small subunit ribosomal RNA", at positions 21 to 507 of the family's 1533-position model. The record is from RNAcentral.
GGCUCAGAUUGAACGCUGGCGGCAUGCCUAACACAUGCAAGUCGAACGGAGAUAGGGGCAACCUUAUUUCAGUGGCGACGGGUGAGGAAUGCGUCGGAAUCUGCCCUAUGGUGGGGGAUAACACAGGGAAACUUGUGCUAAUACCGCAUAAUGUCGAGAGACCAAAGCAGGGGACCGCAAGGCCUUGCGCGAUAGGAUGAGCCGACGCCCGAUUAGCUUGUUGGUAGGGUAAUGGCCUACCAAGGCGACGAUCGGUAGCUGGUCUGAGAGGAUGAUCAGCCACACUGGGACUGAGACACGGCCCAGACUCCUACGGGAGGCAGCAGUGGGGAAUAUUGGACAAUGGGCGCAAGCCUGAUCCAGCAAUGCCGCGUGUGUGAAGAAGGCCUGCGGGUUGUAAAGCACUUUUGUUCGGGAAGAAAUCAUGUCGGUUAAUACCCGAUGUGGAUGACGGUACCGAAAGAAUAAGCACCGGCUAACUUCGUG